This 792-nucleotide unclassified non-coding RNA is filed under the name Leishmania donovani. RNAcentral describes it as "gene:LdHU3.29.2930(CDS-product:hypothetical_prote in_conserved)". The record is from RNAcentral. Lineage: Eukaryota; Euglenozoa; Kinetoplastea; Trypanosomatida; Trypanosomatidae.
UGAAGCAUCAGCCUUGUUGAAGCGCCUGGUGUCGUCAGCGCCUUUACGACCCCACCACCAUCUCCCAGGUGUGCGUGUGCUUGGCAUGCAGUGUAGGGUCAUACUACACAUGAGGCGAGCCACAGCGGCAUCCGCGGUGCUUCUCCCUCUUGUGUCGUUGCGCAGUCACCGAGGUCGCUCCUAUAGCUCGCCAGGGUACACUGUCUACACCAACAGUGCACCUGAUCCGCGAUCACCAGGGCUGCUGCCUGGCUCGGCGGCACCUCUCCACCACAUUCCGUCAGAGGACACGUCCUACGGCGGCGGCAGCCGUGCGUCCACACACGCGGACGACAGCGGCGAGCCGCGCGAUGGAGAGGGCCUCACAGAGGUGGACCUCAACCCACCGCAGAUGCCCUCACCGCAGCAGUACGAAAAUUAUGGUGAGUACCUCAACGCCUAUGACCAGUACCUGAAAGACAUCACGCAGUUCUUGGCAUCGGCGCGUGCCUUUCUGCAGAAGCAGCUGCGUCACCUCCGCCACGCACACGCCGGCCUCGCCGAGGCGGUGCGCCGGGAGUAUUUCUGGACGUUUAUUCCCUUUAUCUGCGCCCUCUGUGUGCAUGUGGUAGACUCGCAGCAUCACGUGAACGCCCGAAUCACCCGCGAGCGUCUGAAGCAGCGGGCCAAGGAGCAUGUGAAGAGCGUCAAGUGGGUUUCCGUGUAAGUGCCUUGUUGCUUUGUGUAUGCGGAUGCGGGAGAUGACCUCCCUGCGUGAAUUGUCGCCUGCUGGUCUCUCCUCCCACGACACCU